GUACAUUUUGUUUUCACAGACUAAUCUUGCCUGAUAAUGAGGCGGUGACCUCGUAUUUGCUCCGGGAAAAGUCCAGAUUUAGACGACGUCAUUGUGUGUAAGUGACACGGUUUACUGUUUCUCCUUCCUUGUUAAAUGUUACUGUGACAUGGGUUUGAUUUUUUUGUAUUCAUACCACACUCAUUUAAUUGUUUUCCAUCCGCCUGUAAGAUGUAUUUUGAGACGGUACGCAGGAGCUUCAGGAUUUCCAGCCGGACACUCAUUGCGGGCGGAAGAUGCGAAGGAUUCAGCGCGGAGUCGAGCGAGAAGAAAGAGGCUGCUGGAAUCGAGACAAAGUGUGCUGGCUGAUGACGAGGUGGAACUCUGGAACUCCGCCACCGUAGAGCUCACGUCGGACGGAGAGGAUGGCGUUGUUGGCGGGGUCUCGGGGUGGAUUGUACGGUCGCCACACACUAGGCGCCUGCACAACAGACCUGCCUCGGAAAACACGGCGCCAGUGAGGGUCUACAACCCCGAGAAGCUAAACGGACAGUUUACUGAGCUGUAGUUUUUAAACCGCCG
This is a long non-coding RNA of Gasterosteus aculeatus aculeatus (three-spined stickleback), 561 nucleotides long. The record is from Ensembl. NCBI's taxonomy places the organism in Eukaryota, Metazoa, Chordata, Actinopteri, Perciformes, Gasterosteidae.